This is a long non-coding RNA of Salvelinus fontinalis (brook trout), 2598 nucleotides long. RefSeq lists it as uncharacterized. NCBI's taxonomy places the organism in Eukaryota, Metazoa, Chordata, Actinopteri, Salmoniformes, Salmonidae. The record is from RefSeq and is a predicted model, not a curated record. The transcript has 2 exons.
CGGGUCUAACGGCCGUCUCGCACCGAACUGCGCAUGUGCACGCCGUCAAAAUGUGCACGCCGUCCUUCGAUAAAUCGUUGUUUUGACGAAAAUGAAAACGGGUCAGUUUGUCACUCUCACGAGGUUGAGGACCUGAGCCCUAGGACCAUGACUCAGGACUACCUGGCAUGAUGACCCCUUGUCCUCAGUCCACCUGGCCGCGCUGCUGCUCCAGUUUCAACUGUCUGCAGCUAUGGAACCUUGACCUGUUCACCGGACGUGCUACCUGUCCCAGACCUGCUGUUUUCAACUCUCUAGAGACAGCAGGAGCGGUAGAGAUACCCUUAAUGAUCAGCUAUGAAAAGCCAACUGACAUUUACUCCUGAGAUGCUGACUUGCUGCACCAUAGACAACUACAGUGAUUAUUAUUUUUACCAUGCUGGUCAUUUAUGAACAUUUGAACAUCUUGGCCAUGUUCUGUUAUAAUCUCCACCCGGCACAGCCAGAAGAGGACUGGCCACCCCUCACAGCCUGGUUCCUCUCUAGGUUUCGGCCUUUCUAGGGAGUUUUUCCUAGCCACCGUGCUUCUACACCUGUAUUGCUUGCUGUUUGGGGUUUUAGGCUGGGUUUCUGUACAGCACUUUGAGAUAUCAACUGAUGUAAGAAGGGCUAUAUAAAUACAGUUGAUUUGAUUAACAUUGAACAGGUCGCGAGAACCAGUCAUCAGAGCGGGUCACGGGGAACCGGUCAUCAGAGCGGGUCACGGGGAACCGGUCAUCAGAACAGGACAGCUUACCGAACAGGUCAUCAGAAUCAUAAAAGCGUGUCAACAUUAGUACCUUUUCAGAGGUAUGUAGGCUCCCAGAACUGCUGUUACGACACCUACAUACAUCAUCACAACCAUCUUCUACACUACUACACUACCUGCUACUACAUUACAGCUACUGGAGGAAUGAAAAGACCUGAAGAAACACUACAGGCUGGGUUCCCACUGGGUACACUUCCUGUUGUCAGGCUGUGGUGUUGAGGUGUGUGUGUGUGCAGCAUGGAGCUGGUCUCACAGGUAGGUAGAUAUUUUCAGGGUGUGUGUGUCUGCCUCUUGUUUCAUGGUGUUCAUCCUGAAAGUCUGACCCACACCUCUUGUUUAAGAUCUUUACGUGGCAGAAUGUCACAGGCUGUGGUGGUGGAAACACUUCAAGGACAUCAAACGGAUACCAGUGGAUGUCAACACGAGCAGACCAGAAGAAGCUGUUUGAUGCAACGCAAUGUAAUAAACACUUAACCUGGACAUGCGUUUUCAUCUGUGUUAAAGAUGAUACACACUGUAGGUCUUCAUUGUAUCCAAGACUACACCACUGCCCAAGCAGCCUUGGACUUCCCCUCUAUUUCCUUCCAUGGCUGUGGGUUUCCUUCCCUGACUGGCUGUGGUGCAACAGUUGACACCUUCUUGAGAUGGAAAUACCACGUGUUGAAGAACUUAGCCGAGUUGCUUCUGUGUUGAGCUCAUGCAGCUGACGCCAUGAUAUCUCAGAUGCACAGGGAGGUUGGUGGCAACUUAACCUGAGAGGACGUGCUCGUGGUAAUGUAUGUCAUUUUAACAUGGACAGUCAACAUAUGCAUGUGGUUAUAAGAAUGAAGAUAAACCAUUAUUCAUUUGAUUAACUGUCUGAACUCUUAUGAUCAAAGUAUCAGGGUUGAGUGUGACGGGGUUUUGUUUUGGGGCACAAAAUGGCCACUGCUCCAGUGAAGAACUGGAGACCACAUGGCAUGCAAGAUAACACUUAAAAAAAAUAAUAAUACAUUUUGGUAAGUAAUAACGUAUUUAAUAUAACAGAGUAGAUUCUAAUCUAACAAAAAUCUAUGAAAUAUAGAUAAAAGAAUGUGAUAACUUUCCCGUCUUUACACCAUGUUGUUCAGUAGACUUGUAUGUCACAUAAGGAUAUAUACACUAUUUUUAUGUGGGGAGAUUCGUUGGCACAAUGGGGUUGAGGGUAGACUAAGGUUCGCAACUAAAUGGUGUGAUUUAAGUCAAUAAUCAUGCAUUUAUUUGGGGGAAAUAUAUUCUCAGCAAACGAGCACAAAUGGGUUUUUACAUCAAUGGCAGAAUUUAUGGCUUAUUUGCACAUUUUAUACAACGUACAAAUUCAGUGAAGGCCACCGAGGACAUGACAAACCGCUCGGUGUCAGUUGACGACAUUCUGAUAUUAAAGAGGAAAGUAAUGCAACUUUUCUUAAUACUUUAUUACAGGGGACUUAGAUUUGUGACCCCGUAUUUAAAAUAUACUUAAAGGUUAGAGGGACUCAAAUUGUACUGGAUUCAUGGAAUGAGGCGUCACUACAGACCCGGGUUUGAUUCCAGGCUUUAUCACAACUGGCCAUGAUUAUGAGUCCCAUAGGUUGGCACCUAAUUGGCCCGGCGUAGUUAGAGUUCGGCCAUCAUUGUAAAUAACAAUGUUCUUAAACUUUCCUAGUUGGGUAAAUAUUGUGCAAAGCUUACUCACCCAGAAAGACAGCUGUAAUCACAGCCAACUGCGAUGCUAACAUGUAUUGACUCAAGGGAUUAAAAUGCAGUAUUCAUACAAGCAAUUUAUUUCAGUUUCAAUAAAUGUGCAAAAAACA